UCAUGAAAGCAGUAUGCGUUUCGGCUCGGCUGUUCAGAGGAUGUAUUCCCCAUAAGAGCGCAUCAGCCAGCCCUGCACAGCCCAGCAGGCUGGUGUCAUUACCGCGGUGUGUUCGCUAGUUAGCGGCACAAGGAGAGUGUGUUUUCGUUAUCCGCCAUGAAGAAGCACAUUUUAACAGCAUCGGAGAGCAAACAUCUUCAGAAACUCGGCAGUUGUAAUACCCGAAUAUCGCGCUGAUUCAGGACACGACCAGCGGCUCCUUCACUUGGGGCGAGACCCAGCUAAGGUGAAACUCAUCAUUUAACGGACCAUGCUUUCUGAUUGCUGAGAUUGUCUGGGCCCCUCAGUAGAUAUAAAUAAAAGGACAAAUAACCUCUCUGUGAUGUGUGAGUAAUUUCCAGCGUAAUGUCUGUUGUGAUAAACUGCAUCGUAGCCUCCA
Anguilla anguilla (European eel) is the source of this 439-nucleotide long non-coding RNA. RefSeq lists it as uncharacterized. NCBI's taxonomy places the organism in Eukaryota, Metazoa, Chordata, Actinopteri, Anguilliformes, Anguillidae. The record is from RefSeq and is a predicted model, not a curated record. The transcript is spliced from 3 exons.